Molecule: small nuclear RNA, 184 nt
Organism: Hirundo rustica (Barn swallow)
Lineage: Eukaryota; Metazoa; Chordata; Aves; Passeriformes; Hirundinidae
Product: U2 spliceosomal RNA
Exons: 1
Source: RefSeq, a predicted model, not a curated record
UUUGGUCUGCUGGUGUUGGCCAAGUGUAGUAUCUGAUCUUAAAAGUUCAAUAUCUGAUAUGCCCCUGAUGAGAGGAUUUUAUAUUAAACAGACUUUGGAGCAUGGGAGUUGGAUCCGGAGCUUGCUCUCUCUGCUUUAUGCAUUGCCCCAGUAUUGCAGUGACUCUGUGAAUGGUGCACUGAUA